UACGUAGGUGGCAAGCGUUGUCCGGAUUUACUGGGCGUAAAGGGCGUGCAGGCGGUUUGUUAAGUGCAGGGUGAAAGCUCCCGGCUCAACUGGGAGAGGUCCUUGCAUACUGGCGAACUCGAGGGAGGCAGAGGAAAGUGGAAUUCCCGGUGUAGUGGUGAAAUGCGUAGAUAUCGGGAGGAACACCAGUGGCGAAGGCGACUUCCUGGCCUGUUCUUGACGCUGAGGCGCGAAAGCUAGGGUAGCAAACGGG
This 253-nucleotide ribosomal RNA is filed under the name uncultured bacterium. RNAcentral's name for it is "partial 16S ribosomal RNA". It matches the Rfam family "Bacterial small subunit ribosomal RNA", at positions 524 to 776 of the family's 1533-position model. The record is from RNAcentral.